This 591-nucleotide long non-coding RNA is filed under the name Erythranthe guttata (spotted monkey flower). RNAcentral's name for it is "long non-coding RNA (EGUT_LNC000392)". The record is from RNAcentral. Lineage: Eukaryota; Viridiplantae; Streptophyta; Magnoliopsida; Lamiales; Phrymaceae.
UUUCGAUCAUAUCCGGAGUUGGAUUACUCAUGAAUUGUCGGCUCAUAAUUUUUGGGUGCCCACCCCUUUUCUCCAACCCAAUUUCUCAGCCAUGGUACUAAUUUUAUUUUCUUCCUCCUCUUCUUUUUCUCCAGUUCUCCCAAUUUUUAUGCAUUGGUAUUGAUUCGAUUUUAUUUUAGAAGCAACGCUUGAUCAAGCAACCACAACUCUCGGUUACCAGGUAUGCAAUCAAUCCUAAUCCUACCCCUACUUCGUCUAAUUUGGUAUCUUGCACAUCUCUCUAUCUGUGGGCUACUCGGUGUUGAUUGGGGUGAUUUUUUCUCAUGUUUCCUUAAAUUUCUUGGGGCGAUGGAUUUAUUUUAUGUUUUAUCUUUGAGGUUUCAUAUCUUGCUGGUGGUUAAUUGUUGAUGGAACUCCCCGUUGGAGUACAUAGAAGCUCUUGAGGUGGUGGUCAUUCUUUUAUGCAACCCCUGCUAUUUUAGCCUCAUGAUUGUGAUUGCUAAUUAACAUUUUCUUAACAGGAUUUAAGUAUUAUAAAUUGUUAUAACCAAAACAAUGUUUUGCCAUUGCAGUUUAUCUAAUGGAACCUCA